UCCCUGGUGGUCCAGUGGUUAGGACUCAGUGCUUCCACUGCAGGGGCCACAGGUUCUAUUCCUGGUUGGGGAA
Molecule: transfer RNA, 73 nt
Organism: Ovis aries (sheep)
Lineage: Eukaryota; Metazoa; Chordata; Mammalia; Artiodactyla; Bovidae
Rfam family: tRNA
About the family: Transfer RNA (tRNA) molecules are approximately 80 nucleotides in length. Their secondary structure includes four short double-helical elements and three loops (D, anti-codon, and T loops). Further hydrogen bonds mediate the characteristic L-shaped molecular structure. tRNAs have two regions of fundamental functional importance: the anti-codon, which is responsible for specific mRNA codon recognition, and the 3' end, to which the tRNAs corresponding amino acid is attached (by aminoacyl-tRNA synthetases). tRNAs cope with the degeneracy of the genetic code in two manners: having more than one tRNA (with a specific anti-codon) for a particular amino acid; and 'wobble' base-pairing, i.e. permitting non-standard base-pairing at the 3rd anti-codon position.
Source: Rfam